Pelobates cultripes (western spadefoot toad) is the source of this 228-nucleotide non-coding RNA. The record is from the annotation of a GenBank genome assembly. NCBI's taxonomy places the organism in Eukaryota, Metazoa, Chordata, Amphibia, Anura, Pelobatidae.
CUAUGAGCCUCCUGGGAUCCAUGUCCUCCACUAUAGGACUAACAAGAUGGGCCCAAUGGAAGAUGAGACCGUUCCAAACAAAUUUCCUUUAUCAAUUCAAAAGGGGAAAUCUGUCGCAACCUAUCAAAAUCCCUCCUCAAGUACAGAAAUUCUCGAGGUGCUGGACACAAGAAAAGUUUCUCUUCAAAGGUUUUCCCCUAGGAAAUAUCCCUUGGACCAUUAUUACCA